This is a non-coding RNA of Rattus norvegicus (Norway rat), 69 nucleotides long. Lineage: Eukaryota; Metazoa; Chordata; Mammalia; Rodentia; Muridae. The record is from Rfam.
GGGGAUUUAGCUCAGUGGUAGAGCGCUUGCCUAGCAAGCACAAGGCCCUGGGUUCGGUUCCCAGCUCUG